ACAGAGGAGGCAAGCGUUGUUCGGAAUCACUGGGCUUAAAGCGCGUGUAGGCGGCUCCGAAAGCGUCGUGUGAAAUCCCGUGGCUCAACCACGGAACUGCACGGCGAACUACGGGGCUUGAGGCCGGUAGAGGUGCCUGGAACUCUAGGUGGAGCGGUGAAAUGCGUAGAUAUCUAGAGGAACGCCGGAGGCGAAAGCGGGGCACUGGGCCGGUUCUGACGCUGAGACGCGAAAGCGUGGGGAGCAAACAG
RNAcentral lists this ribosomal RNA (251 nucleotides) under uncultured prokaryote. Its description in RNAcentral is "partial 16S rRNA". It matches the Rfam family "Bacterial small subunit ribosomal RNA", at positions 525 to 775 of the family's 1533-position model. The record is from RNAcentral.